UCUAAAACAUUCUUAUAAUUCUAAACUUAUCUAGAUAAAUCUAAUGGAUAAGCAUCCCUAGAUAUUUUUAUACAUCAUUCUAGAAUCCUUCUAGAUAGGAUAUUUCUAGAAUUCUAUUUUGGACCUUCUUUAGUUUUGGGCCUUCUCUAGUCUUGGGCUUUUAUCUUUUAGGCCCAAUUUACAUUUUAACUCUUUUUUCCUUGGAGCUUCUCCAUUCUUCUAGAAUUUGCAUUACACUUUAACAGACUGUGGUGGAGUUUUAGGGCUUCGCGUAUUGAUUCAAUGAGGGAACAAGAAUACCGUUGUUGUAGAUUCUGAUGACUCACGAUGAUUGAUACGAACACGAGGUGGUGGCUGGAAGGUGAAGAAGAUGGAGAUCUAAUGAAGAUGGCGCACUGAAUGACGACGUGAAGGAGAUGAUGGCCAACAAAGAUGAAGAGUCGAAGGGGAGAUGAAGAAAUGAACUCAAAACGCGCUAAGGAAGGCAGAUUAGGUUAAGCAAAAUAAGUGAAAAUAGUUUUUUAAAAAAAUAUUUAUAAUUUAACCGCGGAUUCAUGGAAACUGCCAAAACUUACCGGAGGUUUCCAAAACCGUCGGAAAUAAACCUCU
Molecule: long non-coding RNA, 609 nt
Filed under: Vigna radiata
Lineage: Eukaryota; Viridiplantae; Streptophyta; Magnoliopsida; Fabales; Fabaceae
Description: long non-coding RNA (VRAD_LNC008254)
Source: RNAcentral